This 497-nucleotide ribosomal RNA is filed under the name uncultured bacterium. RNAcentral describes it as "partial 16S ribosomal RNA". It matches the Rfam family "Bacterial small subunit ribosomal RNA", at positions 28 to 507 of the family's 1533-position model. The record is from RNAcentral.
GAUGAACGCUGGCGGCGUGCCUGAUACAUGCAAGUCGAGCGAACGGACGAGAAGCUUGCUUCUCUGAUGUUAGCGGCGGACGGGUGAGUAACACGUGGAUAACCUACCUAUAAGACUGGGAUAACUUCGGGAAACCGGAGCUAAUACCGGAUGAUAUUUUGAACCGCAUGGUUCAAAAGUGAAAGACGGUCUUGCUGUCACUUAUAGAUGGAUCCGCGCUGCAUUAGCUAGUUGGUAAGGUAACGGCUUACCAAGGCAACGAUGCAUAGCCGACCUGAGAGGGUGAUCGGCCACACUGGAACUGAGACACGGUCCAGACUCCUACGGGAGGCAGCAGUAGGGAAUCUUCCGCAAUGGGCGAAAGCCUGACGGAGCAACGCCGCGUGAGUGAUGAAGGUCUUCGGAUCGUAAAACUCUGUUAUUAGGGAAGAACAUAUGUGUAAGUAACUGUGCACAUCUUGACGGUACCUAAUCAGAAAGCCACGGCUAACUACGUG